RNAcentral lists this long non-coding RNA (507 nucleotides) under Nicotiana benthamiana. RNAcentral's name for it is "long non-coding RNA (NBEN_LNC002511)". Lineage: Eukaryota; Viridiplantae; Streptophyta; Magnoliopsida; Solanales; Solanaceae. The record is from RNAcentral.
GACAACACAAAGAAGAAAAGAUGAUAAAACUCCUGAACAUUUCCAGAAAACCCUAAAUCGGCAAAUAAGGGUUUUUGAAAGUAAUUUUCAAAUAAAGGUUUAGGGAAAUCGCUUGAAAACUCAUGAAUAGCAUAGAUACACAACCAAUCUAAAAAGAACUGAAGAAAAACCUAUGAUAGCUAGGGUUUCAGAGGAACCCUAGGGUGAGAAAGGCUUUGGAAAAGGUCCGAUCUAAGUCGGAUAAGGUUGGAAUCAGGCUCAGGAGGCUAGGAUAUGCUGGAGCGAAGCCGGGAGAUGGACGGAAACCUUGAGUCGAAGAAGGUCCAGUCUUGAACCAUCAAGAAUCAUGCACAUAGGAGUAAUAAGAGGUGAGUAUAUGUCAUCUACGGCCUGAGAAGCCAUGAAUUCUGGUGGGGUUGUGGUCGGUGAGGCGCUGGAGUUCAUCGGAGAAGACAGAACCAGAAGGUUGUAGAGAGAAGGGAGAGGGAGUGGCGAUAUAGAGAGAGA